Pelobates cultripes (western spadefoot toad) is the source of this 254-nucleotide non-coding RNA. The record is from the annotation of a GenBank genome assembly. NCBI's taxonomy places the organism in Eukaryota, Metazoa, Chordata, Amphibia, Anura, Pelobatidae.
ACUAACCUUAGAUUCAGAGUUGCACAAACUAUUAGACAAAGGGGCGAUCGAACCCUCGCCUUUCCCUUACACUUUCAUCAGCAACAUGUUCCUGGUACGGAAAAAGACGGGAGAUCACCGUCCUAUUAUCAACCUCAAAGAACUGAAUCAGUUCAUCACAUAUCGCCAUUUCAAGAUGGAAGGUAUCCAUCUUCUCAGGGACCUACUCUGCGUGGGAGACUGGUUCUCCAGAUUCGACCUCAAGGAUGCUUACC